RNAcentral lists this ribosomal RNA (433 nucleotides) under uncultured bacterium. RNAcentral describes it as "partial 16S ribosomal RNA". It matches the Rfam family "Bacterial small subunit ribosomal RNA", at positions 29 to 507 of the family's 1533-position model. The record is from RNAcentral.
AACGAACGCUGGCGGCAUGCCUAACACAUGCAAGUCGAACGAGACCUUCGGGUCUAGUGGCGCACGGGUGCGUAACGCGUGGGAACCUGCCCUUAGGUUCGGAAUAACUCCCCGAGAGGGGUGCUAAUACCGGAUAAUGUCUUCGGACCAAAGAUUUAUCGCCUUUGGAUGGGCCCGCGUUGGAUUAGCUAGUUGGUAGGGUAAAAGCCUACCAAGGCGACGAUCCAUAGCUGGUCUGAGAGGAUGAUCAGCCACACUGGGACUGAGACACGGCCCAGACUCCUACGGGAAGCAGCAGUGGGGAAUAUUGGACAAUGGGCGAAAGCCUGAUCCAGCAAUGCCGCGUGAGUGAUGAAGGCCUUAGGGUUGUAAAGCUCUUUUACCCGGGAUGAUAAUGACAGUACCGGGAGAAUAAGCUCCGGCUAACUCCGUG